UUAAUUCAAGUUUGUAUGGAGUUGGAACGUAUGCCCACGUUUGCCACUCACUAGGUGCGCUGUUUCAACUGCACACAAAUUUGACUUA
RNAcentral lists this microRNA precursor (88 nucleotides) under Bombyx mori (domestic silkworm). RNAcentral describes it as "mir-2807 microRNA precursor family". It matches the Rfam family "mir-2807 microRNA precursor family". Lineage: Eukaryota; Metazoa; Arthropoda; Insecta; Lepidoptera; Bombycidae. The record is from Rfam by way of RNAcentral.